GGACACUGUUGUUUUAGCCAUAGGACUGACCCAGAUGUUCACAAAUGGCAUCCAGAAAGAGAUACCUCCAGUUACAUUUAUGAUCCUAAGAAAAUUGUGCAAAUAUAUCACUUCUGUUUCUUAUGGAAAUAUUUGUGCUACAAUGAGCCUGUGAUCAUGAUACUUCUGAAAGAGUGAUGUGAUACCCAAUCAGGUAGCCGUUUGAAGGUACUAACUUUCUACAGAGAUUUGGAUCUCAUCUGGUCAAAUGCUGUAAAAACCCAAACCACUGGUUACCUAACUGGAAAACCUCCCCAAG
Orcinus orca (killer whale) is the source of this 298-nucleotide long non-coding RNA. RefSeq lists it as uncharacterized. The transcript is spliced from 3 exons. The record is from RefSeq and is a predicted model, not a curated record. NCBI's taxonomy places the organism in Eukaryota, Metazoa, Chordata, Mammalia, Artiodactyla, Delphinidae.